This 375-nucleotide ribosomal RNA is filed under the name uncultured Smithella sp. RNAcentral's name for it is "bacterial SSU rRNA". It matches the Rfam family "Bacterial small subunit ribosomal RNA", at positions 1008 to 1382 of the family's 1533-position model. The record is from RNAcentral. Lineage: Bacteria; Pseudomonadati; Thermodesulfobacteriota; Syntrophia; Syntrophales; Smithellaceae.
CAGGGAGUGCCUUUCGGGGAACUCGGAGACAGGUGCUGCAUGGCUGUCGUCAGCUCGUGUCGUGAGAUGUUGGGUUAAGUCCCGCAACGAGCGCAACCCUUGUCUUUAAUUGCCAGCAUUCAGUUGGGCACUUUAAAGAGACUGCCGGUGUUAAGCCGGAGGAAGGUGGGGAUGACGUCAAGUCCUCAUGGCCUUUAUGCCCAGGGCUACACACGUGCUACAAUGGGUGGUACAAAGAGAUGCCAACUCGCGAGAGCGCGCCAAUCUCAGAAAGCCAUCCUCAGUUCGGAUUGGAGUCUGCAACUCGACUCCAUGAAGUUGGAAUCGCUAGUAAUCGCGGAUCAGCACGCCGCGGUGAAUACGUUCCCGGGCCUU